UUUCACCUUGCUUGGAGCCAUUGGAGCUUUGGGUGAUCGUGGCCGCUUCGUUGAUGACCCAACAACCGGCAUUGAAGGAGCUGUGAUCCCUCCAGGAAAAAGCUUCAGGGCAGCAUUGGGUCUCAAGGAGGGAGGUAGUUAAUUUGCAAUUCCACAUUAUCAUCUAUUCUCUUGAAUUUUCUUAGUACCAUUUCAUUUUCACUUUUAUUCAGUGUAAAUGUUGUUUCUAGUUCUCAAAGCACCGGAUGAGGCAUAUCCAAAGAUGCGUGACAUGUGUUCUGAAAGAAUUUUUCAUUGUUUUGUUGUGUGCAAGGUCCUCUAUUUGGAUUUACAAAAUCCAACGAGCUUUUCGUGGGGAGAUUGGCUCAGCUGGGCAUCGCUUUCUCUUUAAUUGGAGAAAUCAUAACUGGAAAGGGAGCUCUAGCACAGCUCAACAUCGAGACAGGGAUUCCAGUCAAUGAAAUUGAACCACUUGUGUUGUUCAACGUUCUCUUCUUCUUCAUUGCCGCAUUGAAUCCUGGGACUGGGAAAUUCGUGACCGAUGAGGAUGAAGAGUAGAUGAGCUAUUAUGUCUUGUAAAAUCCUCCGUUGAUGUUUACUUAGAAACUAGCGCCGUCUCUCUAUCUCUGUUUCUUGCAUGAACAAACAACAUUUGCCCUCUUCAUUGGAAACAUGAUUUUCUUCUGCUCUCAUGAGUAGCAUCCAAAUGCAGGUUUUAUGAUAGGAGAGUUUUUAGGCAGAUGGAGAGUUGUUUUUUCUUCUUUCAGGUAAGGGCCGUGUGCGAGUAGAUUACAACUCCGGUGAACAGAUAGUCUUUUCUAGUCUCAGGAUUCUGUUAAACGUCUUGACAUGUUUGCUCCUCAGAAAUCACAUGAAUUCCAAAUGAGUAACCAAACAAAAACAAAUUUCCAAUUGAAUCCCUCGUUUUUAGUCAUCUAUCAAACAUCUACCCAAUUAAUCCCGUCACGGAAAUUAAUGAAAAAAACAGCAUCGUUUUAAGACAAACCGGCCUCUAUUUUUUUAUUUUUUAUGAUUUUAAAAUAAGACAUUUUAAGGGAAGUGUUAAUUGGGUAAUGUCCAAAACAUAAAGAAACCAUUAAAGAAUUGUUUUGUUGGGGGACCUAAUUGAAAAUUAGUUGAUAGUUAAAAGAUAAAAUUAUUCCUUUGCCAGAAAAAAAAAACUAUUAAUGGUUACAGCAAAUAUAGUUACGGCAAUCUCAAAUGCAUGUUUUUAGAAUAUAAAUUAAAUAAAAAUAUCAACCGGACUUUUUAGACUUUUAAACAUUUCAUAAAUAAAACUAUAGCCAUUUGUGCACCAUCUCUUUGGAAAUUCUCGGCUAUACAAUCGACUAUCGAUCGCAAUAUGAGAGCAAAAAAAAUAUGCUGGUGGCUGAACUCAAAUAGCUCUCAUUGAAAAUUUAUAUAUGCAUACACUGUACAGGGGUGUGUUUUCGGUAUUCUAGAGAUUUUUAUUUACAAAAAUAGAUUUGAAAAAAAUUAUAAAUCAUAUUUUACUGUAAUUUGAAAUUAAAACAAGUUUAAAUAAUAAAAACCCAGUAAUUCUUAAAAUUAUGAUAAGUCUAAAAGUAUUUUUAAUUACACCGCACCAUAAUAUAUAACGGACCAUUACUUUAAAAAGCAAACGGCUUUGGUUUCUAUGUCUAAACAUGCUCGGACCUACGAUUGAAAUAAACCUUGUCGGUAUGAUUUGGACAUUGUCUGCCGCCGUAUAACGAAAUUGUGGUAUUCCUGUUUUGAUAGAUUGCCGACUUCUUUAGAAAAUUUAAAAUCACUUUCUUUCUCUGUUUUAGUUCUAGCUUCUGCUUUGAUGCAAAUGAAGAUAAUUUAUUUAUUUAUUUUUAGAUGGAGCUAAUUCUGCAAUGAUUUUGGAAUAUUUUUUUAAAUAUUAUUUUUAAUUGAUAAAACAUUUAAAAAACAAUUUUUUUAAAAAAAAAUACAAUCACAGCAAUGCUAACAUACUCUUAACAAAAAUAACAUAAAAAAACCAAAUAAAUAUAGUUAUUUUUGCCAUUACAGUGGUGGUUGCUUUGCAUAGAAAUAAACUUUUUGAACUUUCAUAUACUAAUAGUAGUUAACUCCUUACAUCAUCAACUUGUUAAUAGUUUGUAUUUAAAUUUAUAUAAUUGACUUAUUCAUAGCUUGUGUAUUAUAGUAUAUUAUAUUUUUUUAAGUUUUUUUCAAAUAAAAAUACAUUAAAAUAAAAUAUUUUUUUAAUUUUAAUAUUAAUACGUUGAAAUUAUAAAAAUAUAUUUAAAAAAUAUUAAUUUAAUAAUUUUUAAAUAAAAAAUAAUUUAAAAACACUUAAAAAAACACAAAAGUUCACCAAACACUCACAAGUCACUAAUCAUCUUUGAAAAAUCACCAAGACAUAGCGCCCAUGAUUGUUAGCGCGAAACUAGAUUAGACACAUAAAUUACUUAAAUUAAAAUUGGAUUAUCCAACAAAUUGGCAAUCAUAAAUCAUAAUCACCAAAUACUUUCCUAAAAGUCAUAUGAUCGACGAACAAACAAACAACCACCAUCCAUUAUAAUAAUUAUUAAUUACCUCUAGUUAACAACUCAAGUAUAUACACGUGUAAUCCAAGCAACAUCACCACGUAGAAUUAGAAUAAUAAUGCAAUUUACAAUCAUAUAUGUGGUAGUUCAAUGAUAAGAGAUUGGGAUCAAGAGGUUUGCUCUCUAUGCGGUUUCAAGUUCGAGUCCUGUGGUUACUCAUAUGAAGGCUACUGGAGGCUUACAUGGUCGUUAAUUAAUUACCUCUAGUUAACAACUCAAGUAUAUACACGUGUAAUCCAAGCAACAUCACCACGUAGAAUAAUAAUGCAAUUUACAAUUUUAUUUUUGUUGAAACAAUAAUGCAAUUUAAACACCUUUAAUAAUAGUAUGUGGACCUCGUAAUGACACUUAAUUACUCGCAUUAAUUAAUCAAAUUACUUAAUUAAACCUUUUUAUUAUUAUUUUUUUUCCGUUCUAAACCAAGUUCGUCUCCAAAAAAAGAAAAGGACAGCCUAGGAGACACCAAUCCAAUAACCUUUUCAUUGCUUUGAUUCCUCUCCCAGCUUCUUCUUCUUCUUCUUCUCUGCAAAAACCCUUUCACUUCUCUCUCCAGAAGCUAUCUCUUGUCUUGAACUUGGUCAGUUUAAGUCACCCGAUUCAGGCAGGAUUUCCUUACAAACCCAAUUGCACGCAAGACUGUCUUUGAUCAUCAUUAACUCACCAAUUGUAUCAUUGUUCGAGUCCCAAUCACGAUCACAGCCGUUGAUCAAGAAGCAGAAAUGGAAAAAUCUAAGGUUGGCAAGGGAGCUUACCUCAACGGGAAUCCCCAUCAUUCCUUCUCUUCUUCCUCUGCUUCUCAAAGACAUGUCAGCUACAGGUUCUUUCUGUCCCACUAAAUACUGGGUCCUUUUUCUUUUCUUUUCUUUUCGUUUCCAAUGAAGGAUCGAGUUUUUUGUUAUUGGGUUUUUCUUUUUGUUGAUUCAAAUUGGUUGACUGUCCUUUGUUUUCUGUUCUGUGUUGGAAGUUCACCGUAUUCAAUUCAUGAUCAAAUUGAGGCAUGUGCAGGACAUCUGAUUUAUUUUCUUGGCUUGUCCAGUAUAUAUAUAGGUUCUUUUCCUGGUGAAAGGAAACUUGGCUUCUUAAUGAGCUUGGGAGAAUUGUUCUAAAUGGAUGUAAAAUAAGAGACUAAUUGAUAUGUCAAGUCAAUUUGUAAGCUUGGGAACUAAAAGUCUUGUGCUUUUUUAAGUUUUGAACAAUGUUAUGGGUAGUUAGCACUGGUACAGAACUUAAACAUAAUUCUGGAAUGGGUGUCAGGAAAAUUGUUAUGGCCAAUAAAAUUAUUUGAACACAUCUGGUUUAGGAAAAGGUGAAUUAAGUUUUCUAUUACGAGAAGGAGUUCUUUUUUACAUUCCAUCAUUCGUAAUAACAGCUGUUAGUUUUACCCUUUAUUUACUAGACUGUAAUUGUGAACGAGGCCAUUACAGAAAUGGUUUUAAUAAGAUUGUCAGAUGAGAUUUUGAUCCUCUAUUCACCUUGUUUUGAAUCGCAAACGAACUGAUGGAAAAAUGACAAGAGAAGCAAAAGUGACAUUUACUUUUAGUUACAUUAACAUAUAAGACAUUAUCCAUCAAUGGAUGUUUUAUGUGCUUCCCGUUAUCCAUCAAUUGUUGUUUUAUGAGCUUCCCAUACAUUCUUUAUUGGAUCGUUGUGGAUUUGGUUGUUUCUGCAUGGGCUUUGUUUUUUAAGCGUAGAAAAUUAAAUGAACUUUGGUGCAGCUGCGGUAUUUGCGGGUAUGAAUUGAACUUGAGCUCCUCCAAUCGGAACACCUCAUCUAUUGGCUCUAAAUAUGGGAAAUCCAUAAAGAGAGGGAUCAUCUCAUUCUUCUUCAUCGAUGAGAGCAGAUUUACCCAGGUUGAUGAAUUCCAAUGCAUUCCCUUCUUUUCAAGAAACUCCUGGGGUUUGUUCCACCGGAGAACAGCACUUCUUUGCCGCAAGUGUGGUAAUAAUAUUGGAAUUGCUUAUGAUGAUAAAGCCUCAGCUUAUCCACUUGUAGCAGACGGAUCUGACUCUUCCUCAGUCAGUGAAGUUUCCAAACAUCGAAAAUAUGAUGUUAAAAUCCGUGCCUUGCAGCCUUCUUCUGUUGACCAGUUUAGCACUCCAAUUCACACCUGAUGUAUCCGGAGCAAGCCUCUUCAUAUCUAUGUAAUCAAAUGGUAUCGGUUACACAUCAAAAACUAAACCAGAAGUUUUCCUGAGAUACUUUCAUGUAUACGUGGUUGAUUCCUUUAAUUUUGUUCUGUGUAUGUGUGUUUACUGUCAUAUAUUAGAGUGUGACUUGUACAGAGCAGUGUUGAGAAGCAUUAAAAGAAAGCAGUGUGGAUGUUGAAGGGGCCAAAGUCCAUCAACUAUCCAGGUUUGACGAGAGAAUAGUAGUAUGAUAUAUCGAAUGGAUGGGUUUGAACUUUGAAGGGACAUUAACAUUAUGCUACAAUUUUAUAUAUUCUUCUCUGCGUGAGGCUUUCUCGUCUUUAAUAUUAUGUCAAUGUUGAGGCUUGUAAAUGCUGAAUAACAUGAGAAAGAGUUCUUGCACUUUAAUCUCCAUUGGGUUUCCGUGUAAUAUUGCUAUUAGAGUAAGAUCUUUUCAAUUUAUGCCACAGUGUAGUUUUUUCUUUAGGAGCUGAAGACGUCUUUGAUAUGGCAAUGCAGCAAUCAUGGGGAGAGAGAGCUUUGCAUGCAGCAGCUAGACUUUUGCAGCAAUGAUGUCUAUUCUAAAAGGAGAUGCCGAAUUCACGGCCGUAUUGGUCGGGUCUCCUGGAGCCAUACAGUAGAGUACCCAUCGAUCUCAAUUUUUUCUGUGCCUUGACCAUAUAUAACUGUAAAUCAUAGCCAUUUUCAUGUUGAAAAAGGACUUUUCCAGGACAACUUUACGUACAGGGAGACCGAAAGGUGCCUUUGAAGAUGUUAUGAAAUGUAGAUAACGUAACGUUACUAGAAAUUGUGGAAAGAGAAAUAUAAUGUGGAGACACAAAUAAACUAUAAGGGUUCAGUGCUAGGAGAUAAACAACAGUCUCACUUGAUCAGAAAUUCCAAUUUCUAUUCCAUAUUCUGAUAAGCGAUCAACAAAUGGAUCUCUACGAAGGAGAAUUGACAAAAAAGGCCCUAUUUGCUUGAGUAGGAGAUGACGUAUGCCAUGAUUGCUUUAUUUCUUUUCGAGAUUUGUAUGGCUUUGGAGCUCCGCUAGACUAGUAUCCUGGAAGGCAAGAAUUUCAAUAUUAGUAUGAUCAUACGCAGGCUAGUGUGCGCCGAAGACAGAAUUUUGUUCACAACGGGCUUCUCUAUUGAGGUGCCUUUUAGGGGGUUUUCACUUUUCCAAAGGAAAAUCAAGAGCACCGAAGCUCACUUAAUUCGAGUAUUACCACUGUGUAACCAAAUUUAGCUAUAGUUUAAUUGGCUGUUGAUGGAAUCUCAUCAUGGUCUAGAAUCACUUAUGUUUGAUGUCCAACACUCCUGAUAAAAGCAGCAGAAAAUGCCCUCUACAUCGACCCAGUCUUAAGCUUGUUCGUGAACAACAAAAGAAAGUACUAGUACUCAAAAGCCAGUUUCACUGAUGUAUAAACCGCUUCCUGAUCAAUCAACAAAAUUGAUACGCCACCAAAGAUUUUGCUUCCUUUUAUUCCCCUUGCAAGAUAGAAACUCGAAUUUUCAUUUUCUGUAUUUAGAGUCGAUUUGCAGCCAAAAGAACCCAACAAGGUUAUUGUUAUUGGCUGUAACUCAAAUCCCAACCAUAGAAUCGAAACUUAGCGAGCUUCAAUUUUUUUGUCCAGGAGGCGCUGAACAAUAAAAUUAAGAGGAUUUAUAAUGGAUGUUUUCUCUGUUCAGACUUCAGAGGCUCGGCUGCCACGGGACAACAAAAUUGACUUUGCUCCCGUCUUUUCUCCCCUCAACCUCCUGUCCAAACAGAGAAAUUAAUGGUUUUUCUUGUUGUUCUUAGCAUUACGGUCAAUUUUAGAUGUCAUGUAUGUAGUCUUUAUUUAGUGAAAUACAAUUCCCUUGAGCUGGCAUCUAUGCAUCGGAUUAACGUAUUUUGACUUUUUGAGACCAAUUCACCAAUGUAUAUGCGCUUAGACACAGAAAAUUUUCCGCACUUGUAUUCCUUUCUUCAUACCCAGCCAGCCACAUUUGAGCACCAGUAUCUGGACGUGGAUAAACAAUUACAGUAAGCAGCAUAUAUAUAUUGGUUGAUUUGGGCAGAGACUCCUCAUUGCAAGUGAAUCGAAAUGGGGUUAAGCUCAACAAACAAGGUUUGCUCAGCGAGUGUACACUCAGGGAAACGGCAAUAUAUAUGUCUCUUCAUUUAUGCUUGGAAUUUCCAUAGCUCCUUUACUUUCAAAAUUUUUCAUUUUAUCAAAUUUUUGGUAACAUCUCCGCUCCCCUAAAAUUUAGUGUCGCUUAGAUAUGCUAUAGUAAAAAAUAAAUAAAAAUAAAUUAGCAUUUCUAUACCAUUUAUCGAACCAGCUAUCAUCAUGAGAAAAAUGUUUGCUCUCAAAACUCGAACCUGCACCAUAAUUGUGAUUGUAAGUUCAAUAAUUUUACUAUUUCACAAAGCAAAACUACCAUCUAUUAAAAAUUAGAGUUAAUUAUAAAAACAUCCUUGACAUAUAUGUGUUCAUAAACAUAUUAUAAACCUUUAUCAAAAGAAAAUAAUUAGUAAAAUCAUUUAUGUAACGUUUGGUUAGUAUCUCGGGGAAAGAAUUUACUUUUUUGUACUUCAUGUUUUAAGGUAUAAAAAUUCAUUUAAAAUUUGUUUCAGAAACAAAUUUAUUAAUUUUAUUUUAUUUUUUUCUCAAACUAAAUAUUUUUCUAUCUCUUCUAUAUUUAUUUCUUCUAUCAUGAAAUAUUAACUAAACACAACAUUAAAAAAAACAAAAAUUACAAAAAUAAGAACCAACAUGGGUAAUUUUUUCAAAAAUCUUAGUCGAGUUAAUAUGGAGUUGACUAAGUUUUUUAUUUUUCCAGUUUUUUUUAAAUUGAUUUUUUAUCAUGUUUACCUUUCAUUAUUUAAUUUGUUUGAGAGUUGGCUUUUAUUAUUUAAUUUAAUUUUUUAUGUGAGGGGUUAUUUUGAUCUCAUAAUCGAGCUAUGAAUUUAGCAUGUUAAUUCGAGUUAUGUUAUUUUAUCAUUUUUAAAUUAUUUUCUUCACUUCGGUUUUCAAUGUUUUCUUUACUAGUAAUUGAGCUUCAAACUUCUUUUAUUUUUUUAUGAUGUUAUUAUGUUCUCAUUCAAUUUUUUUUAUACUUUGUUAUCAAAUAAAAAUUGUUAAGAUAUUUUAAAAAUAUUUAAAAGAUAUAUUUUUAUAAUAUUGAUAAAUAUUAAUUCAAAUCAAUAACUCCCAAAUUUCUUACUCCUUUAAAAACAUUAUCCAUCACCUAGGUAUCGUUUUAUUACGAUAAGAAAAAUCUGAUCCUGUCCACGAAGAAGCCCGGACCCUAUCCAGUUGCUACUAUGCUGUGUGCUUUAAAAAUUCUUCCUUGUUCAGAGUAUCGUGACACCCGAAAGCAAAACGGUACUCUCAAAAUAAAUUUACUUGAUCGUUCCAUUUUCAAACACACAGAAACUCAAUUGAAAAAAAAAAAUUAAUAAAGGAACCAAAAUACAAAUCUUCCUAUAAAUUACGUAACGAGAGAUAAAAAAGAUCGUGAUCAGGUGGCUGAGUUUUCCCUACAAUGUAAAAAAGCAAGUUAGCCACCGGUUAAUCUGUAAUAAUGGAUUUCAAAUCAACAGGGAAUUGAUGAAUUUAGUAUGUAUUCAAGACACAAGAGGUGCUGAAUCCAUUAACAUGUCAUAUAUACGUUCGCUAUAAGUUAGUGUUUACCAUUUGUUCCACAGUGGAUAAGGACCGCUCGGAGGUGGUUUCAACCAUGAUGACGAACCCAUUUGACCACCACUUUGGAUGGCCAGGCCUUGAUUUUGGCUGUUUUAUUUGAAGCCAUAAACUAUUAGUUGAUUGAUUUGUUUUCUGAGAGUGUUAUUGCACGGGUGAUUCAAGCUCUUUCAAACAAAAUCUAAUUGUUCGGAUUAUAAUACGGCAGUAGAGCAAUAUCUGUAAGGAGCAUGUAUUACAAAAUCUAGUUGGAGUUUUUCUUUGAAAUAUGUUGUAUCAGAUAACAGUUUAUGUUGAAACUUGCCCAGUCUAGUAUACUAAAUCUGAUAGCACAAAUCAAACUGUAUUAGGGCGGCUUAAAUAAUUUCCAAGCACAGAAAUUAAGUGGGGCAAGACAUCAAAAUGGAUUAAAUCAACCUCAAUCAUCACGAGAGAAGCAAAAUUGGAAGGGUUUCCUUGUUGCCAAUUGUUGUUUCAUCUCAUCGUUCAGAUGUAUGGUCCAAACUCAAAGUAGAAAAAGGAGACACAACCGUUUAAUAAUUCUCGUUUCAAACUCAAAUUGUAUAUAUAAUCUUGACAAGAGAACAAAACCAGGUUAAAGGUUUCUAUAAUACAAGGGGGGGAAAAAAACCCGACACGACGCUUUUUACGUGUACGUAACAUAAUUACCAGCACGAUAACCUUAUCUUCUUUUUGUUCUUUCAGAUGCAUGAUAUGAUAAAUUAACCUUUGAAUAUGGGACUAGCUAAAAAAGAAAAGAAAUGAAAGUCUACCUUUUUUUUUUUUUUAUUAUUAUUAUUAUUAUAAUAAUUUACUACGGUGGCCUGUUCAAGCCAUUGGCGCCAUCCUGUUAAUCCCAGGGCAAAAUACUAAUUUUUUAAAUAAUUGUUUUUUUAAUUUUAUUUUUAAUAUCAAAAAAUUAAAUUUAUAAAAAAAUAUUAAAAAAAUCCAAUACAAGUAGGUAUUGAAAGAAAUAAUUGUUAUAUAUAUAUAUGUCUCCAACUUUUCAAUUAGGUAUUUAAUAUAUUAAUGAAUUUUCAAUUGAAUCUUUUUAUUUAUUGAAAUCAAUAAAAUGGUUAAAAAUUAUAUGAAAAUUUUGUUUUUCUAUUUAUUUUGUGAAAAAAUCAUGAAUUUAAUAAAAAUUCUCGUAUCAUGACAUAUAGACUAUACAAAGAAAUGUAAGGGUUUUGUAAUAUGUUCACAUGAUUCAAAAUGAAGAUCUCAUUGAUUUUGUUUUGAAAAAAGAAAAAAUGAUGUAAACUUCAUAAUUUUAUUGGAAAAGUAUCCAACUGAAAAUCUAUUAUUACAUUGAGAAUCUAAUAGAAACUGUCCUCAAAGGUUGAGUACUUCAGUCAGGUUCGACCUUUAUUAUUCAUGCCUCUGAUCCCGUAAACUAAGCCGCCCACGUUUUGGAGAGGCCCGCUCCAUUUUACGCUAUAUAAUCCCAAACUUUCCUCUAUAGUUUCUCGUCGCAAAAACUAGAUUCCUACAGUAUAUUUGCUCACAAACUCUAAACUAUGGGGUUUGCUAGUAUUAACGUGUCUGUCAUCACUUUGGGUUAUUUUCUUAUGUUGUUUGUAACUCUCACCAGCAUCUUGAAUCCCAUCUUUGCUUCGAGAAUCUGCGAGUUUCCAGCAAUAUUUAACUUGGGCGAUUCAAACUCUGAUACUGGUACACACUCAGCUGCCUUCACUGCCCUUAACUCUCCCAAUGGAGACACUUACUUUCACAUGCCCGCGGGAAGGUUCUCAGAUGGAAGGCUGAUCAUAGAUUUCAUUGGUAAGUUAUAAUGCUUGUACUUCGAAUAGCAUAUGCAUAUGUUAACUCCUCGAAGUUGCAUGAACUGGUCCUUUCAAAAGUAAAAGCGUACAUUUUGCCUCCAUCGUCAUAAGAGUCUGGAUCUCUUACUGCAUUUCGUUGUCAGCAUGUGUGGAUAUGGUUUUAAGUUUGAGCCUCCCUUUUAAAAAAAUUUAAAAAAAUGUGUGGAUCUCUUAUUACUCUUUAAUGAUCUCUUGUAAUCAGCGAAGAGUUUCAAUCUACCAUAUCUCAGUGCUUAUCUUAAUUCUCUGGGCGCCAGCUACACAAAUGGGGCGAAUUUUGCCUCAGCAGGAGCCACCAUCAGAUUACCGUCUCCAAUUAUACCUGCUAGUGGUGGAUAUAGUCCAUUCUACCUUGAUGUGCAAUAUCAGCAAUUUAUGCAAUUUAAAGACAGAUCACAGAUCAUUAGGAAACAAGGUGCGUAAUCAAAAUCUAUUUUUUGGGCUCUAUUCCAGAGAUGUCAGUCAACUGUACGUAGAAGACGCAAUUUGAAACGAUUUUCUCAUCGAUGUUCAAUCUGUAUGCAGGAGGAAAGUUUGCCAAGUUGAUGCCUAAGGAGGACUAUUUCCGAAAAGCACUAUACACAUUUGACAUUGGUCAUAAUGAUCUUGGAGCUGGAUUUUUCAGCAACAUGUCCAUUGAGGAAGUGAAAGCAACUGUCCCUGAUAUUGUCAACAGGUUUUCGAUAUAUGUUAAGGUAAUCCUUAAUAAUGAACCAUUAGAGAAGGCUGUUUAGAUUUAUUACUCAUAUAUUAAUUUUAUGUUACAAUAAUAUAUUUAAACUACUGGAGUGGUUUUGAUCGGUGCAGAAUAUAUACGAAGUGGGAGGCAGAUCAUUUUGGAUUCAUAGCACAGGGCCAAUUGGUUGUCUUGCUUACAUCUUGACCGGCUUCCCUUCAGCAGAGAAGGACAGUGCUGGCUGUUCAAAGCAGCACAAUGAAGUGGCUCGGUAUUUUAAUUACAAAUUGAAGGAGGCUGUUUUUAAAUUGAGGAAAGAUUUUCCUUCAGCUGCAUUCACAUACGUGGACGUGUAUUCUGUGNNNNNNNNNNNNNNNNNNNNNNNNNNNNNNNNNNNNNNNNNNNNNNNNNNNNNNNNNNNNNNNNNNNNNNNNNNNNNNNNNNNNNNNNNNNNNNNNNNNNNNNNNNNNNNNNNNNNNNNNNNNNNNNNNNNNNNNNNNNNNNNNNNNNNNNNNNNNNNNNNNNNNNNNNNNNNNNNNNNNNNNNNNNNNNNNNNNNNNNNNNNNNNNNNNNNNNNNNNNNNNNNNNNNNNNNNNNNNNNNNNNNNNNNNNNNNNNNNNNNNNNNNNNNNNNNNNNNNNNNNNNNNNNNNNNNNNNNNNNNNNNNNNNNNNNNNNNNNNNNNNNNNNNNNNNNNNNNNNNNNNNNNNNNNNNNNNNNNNNNNNNNNNNNNNNNNNNNNNNNNNNNNNNNNNNNNNNNNNNNNNNNNNNNNNNNNNNNNNNNNNNNNNNNNNNNNNNNNNGGAUUGUAAAAUUAAAUUUAUUUAUAUUAGAUAAUAAAGGAUAUUUUCAAAAACCCACUCCAAGUUUAAGAAAAUAUUGUAGAAAAUUGUGUUGGUACCUUAAAUGCUUUAAUAUCUUAAAUAUAAGAAAGAGUUUAAAAUAUUAAUGACAUUUUAAGUUGAGAAAGUAAUUUUUAUAUAAACUUCUAGACAGUUUCCAUGAUUUCACAACACCUCGCAGUUUGUUGUGUAAUAAUUUACCCACAGCUCCAAAGCAAUUGGUUUUUAACUUGAAAAGGACACGAAAGUAACAAAACCAAUAGAUAAAUCAGAAAACAUGGCAAGAUUUAGUUUUUGUGGUUUAUUUUAUUACAAAUUGAUCUUGUUUUCCGUUACAAAUGGUGUAUAGGAUUUGAGCUUCCACUUAUAGCCUGCUGUGGCUAUGGAGGCAAGUACAACUACAGUGAUGCUCCAAGAUGUGGAGAAACAAUUACAGUAAAUAAUACCAAAAUGGUUGUCGGUUCAUGUGACAACCCCUCUGUUCGAGUAGAUUGGGACGGAGUCCACUAUACCGAGGCUGCUAACAAGUUUGUUUUCGAUCGAAUUUCGACAGGAGCCUUUUCUGAUCCGCCAAUCCCCUUAAACAUGGCAUGCCACAGGAAUGUAUAAUUUCUGUGCUUUCAAUAUCAUUCUAAAAUGUAUAAAUCGCGAUAAAAUGCCUCCCUCUCGAUCCAUUCCUUGGAUCUGAAGGGUGAAAUAAGAAACUGUUGAUCUCAUAUAUCAUCUCUCCUCGGGAGAGAAAAACAUGAGAUGUGCCAAACUAGCUCCAAUAAUAACUCCUCCCCUACUUUUCAAUAUAUAUGGAAUCUAUGUAACGUAUAUAUUCUGUAUUUUUAAUAAAGCUCGACAGAAAAAUAUUUCAGCCUAUAAUUCCCUAGCCAAUUAGUUUGGUGAUCGAAAGCCAAAUAAAAAAUAAUUAACUUGGAACAAGAAAUGCACUCUGUUAUUUCCUGUCAACUACGAGGACGCAUUGAAAGGAGAAAAAAAAGGGGGGUCUAACUUAAUAAUGAAACAUUUCGGCAGGAUCUUCUCUAAUGGGAUCAGGUCGUGAAUAAUGAAUAUAAUCCUCUUGAAAUAUAUACACACCAUUAAUGUGGAUGUCGACAUAAUAUUUGGAAAUUAACCUUGGCUUCACUCAUUAUUUAUACCUAGAAAGUCUAGAAAUAAUGGAAAGGUCUGCAUCACUGUCAAGUGAUGAGUACAAUACAAGUCUUAAAGAUUAUCUCCCUUCUAGUCCUCGAAAGCUAUUUUCGCUUUCAACAUGGUGUUUCCGAGCACCAACAUAUCUGUAAUCAGUUUCUCUUCUUUUUGUAUGGUUUUCGUGACUUGAGUUGCCAUUGUGAACCCCAUAUUUGCUUUGGAAAAUUGUGAUUGAUUUCCCAGCAAUCUUUAACUUCGGUGACUCAAAUUCGGAUACUGGUGGAUUGGCUGCUUCCUUCAUUCAACCAAACUUCCUUGUGGAGAGACUUACAUUCACAUGCCCGAAGGGAGAUACUCUGAUGAAGGCUGAUUAUAGAUAGAUUUCAUUGGUGAGAAUGUUAGAAAAUAUUUUUAUACGGAAAAAGAAAAGAAAAGACAGUUUGAACUGAGUACCAAACUGUUCCUUCAUAUAAUUAUAAUUGAGACGAGCGUGAACGAUCAAGUGUACUAUUUCACAAGUGGGGGCAUAAUCAUUUUAUUGUAAUCUUAAAAAAAAACAUUUUCUUUUUUGAAAUAUACUUAAAUGUUAAAUGUUUGCGAUCUUUAACUAUUAAUUAACACAUUAAAAGAAACUAAAAGGGCUCCAACUUAUACUGUAGCCUUGUUCAUUAUAGCCACAAAGUCAUUGACAUUAUGUAUUUGAAUGGUAAAAUGAUGAUUUUACAUUUAUAAACAUAACAUAAUUGGCCUUGUUGAGCCCAUAAUGUGUUGUAUCAGCAAAGAAUUUUAAUCUCCCGUAUAAUCUAAGUGCUUAUCUUAACUCUCACGGGGGCAACUCCACGCAUGGAGAAAAUUUUGCAAUAGCAGGGUCCACCUUUACAUUAACAAAAACCUAAAACUAGAAGGGAAAUUACUUUAGCUCUAGGAACACAUCACUAUUUAUUGAAAUUAAUAGCGAUGAAUCAAUUUUUUAUUAAGAUUUUUAUUUUUAAAUAUUUUCUUAAAUCAAAUGAAUUUAGUAAAUAUGUUAAACGCAAGAUACUUAAACUUAACAGUCAGCCAAGUACGAUAUAUAUGGACUUGACGGUAAACCAAAUUUAAAAUUAUAUAGGUAUAGCAAACUUGUCAGACUAAAGGUGUUAAAUUUGGUGGACAGUCAAGUCCAAGGUGCGACAUUACUAAUUCUAAGACUUUAUGUCUAAUCCUAAACCUUUACGAUAUAAAUAUUAAAGACAUGAUAAAUUAUUAUAUCUUUCAAUAUAGAAUAACUAUACACAUUAAGAUAAUGAUUUUCCUAUACUUAUAGGUAUGUAUAAGGUCUCUUAAGAGACCACUCAUACUUAUUGUCUUAUUAAUGAUAUGUAAGAGGUUUUUGCCUCCCAUUAAUGUCGCUGAAAGCAGAGGACUUUCUGGCUUCUCCUUUUUCAUGGAAACGACAAAGUUUAUAGAGUAUAAAUACAUUUUUAACAAUUCAGGUAAAACGUACACAAACUCUCUUCUUUCUAAAACAAAUAUACAAAGACUUCAUAGCAUUAACAAACUUAAAACUCAAGAACAAAUAUCUCUGUCCUUAAAAUUUAAGGCUCUUCGAAGUUAUUUAUUACUUUAAGUCAUUUAAUAUCUUUCUCAUAAAGAUAUUGACUUUAUCAUUAUCUUUAAGUCCUCCAGAUUGUAACUGUUUUUUUGAAAGUAUUUAAGACCUUCAUAGUUAACAUCGAGUUCUUUAGAUUAAGGAGAAAUUUAUUUUACCAGGUCACAAUCAACCCGUGUUUUUUAUUGUCUCACACAGGGUCAAUCAUCUACUCAAUUUCACCGGUUGUUGAGCAAGCUUGGAUCUACCAAUCCGCUCGAUCCAGCUUUAGGGGGAGUAUUGAAGAUACUGCAGAAGAUACAACAGCCAUUAAUGAAUACGAUUAUGCUGCAACUAUUGAUACAGAGAUCCUGCAGAUAUUCUAGCUGCAACUAUUGAAACAGAGAUCCUGUAGAUAUUCCAGCAUUAUACUAUUCCCUAAUGUAAUUUAUUUGUUACCUGGAUUAGACAUGAUUUUAUGCUCUGUUAUUAUUAGGAUGAAAUCCUAGCGAGAUUCUUGGAGAAAUUAUGUGCAAGAUUGUCUUUCCUUGCACAUAAUUUCCUGCUAUAUAUACAUGUAUACAACAACAGAACUGACAUGAUUGAAGUUUUCUUUCUUAAAUCACUGUCUUAAAUAUCAUCAGUAUUCAAGACACCAGAGGUGCUGAAUCCAUUAACAUGUAAUAUAUACGUUCGCUAUAAGUGAGUGUUUACCAUUUGUUCCACAGUGGAGAAGGACCGCUCGGAGGUGGUUUCAAACCAUGAUGACGAACCCAUUUGACCACCACUUUGGACGACCAGGCCUAGAUUUUGGCUGUUUUACUUCAAGCCAUAAACUAUUAGUUGAUUGCUUUGUUUUCUGAGAGUGUUUUUUUUUUUUUUUUGAUAAUCGUCGAGAGUAUAUUGAGAAGGCCAUAAAGCGAAUAGCCAAAGAGAAAUACAAGGGAUAUAAAAAAGAAAAAAGAAAAAAGAAAAAAACUGAUCUACUACAGCAAACAACAAGAAGACUACCUAAGAUUUCUUAUUACACCACAAUUUGAUGCCAUCAAAAGAUCUUAAGAGGUCAUUUUAUGAGAGUGUUAUUGCACGGGUGAUUCAAGCACUUUCAAACAAAAUCUAAUUGUUCGGAUUAUAAUACAGCUGCAGAGCAAUACCUGUAAGGAGUAUGUAUUACAAAAUCUAGUUGGAGUUUUUCUUUGAAAUAUGUUGUCUCAGAUAACAGUUCAUGUUGAAACUUGCCCAGUCUGUAUAAUAAUUCUGAUAGCACAAAUCAAACUGUAUUAGGGCGGCUUAAAUAAUUUCCAAGCACAGAAAUUAAGUGGGGCAAGACAUCAAAAUGGAUUAAAUCAACCUCAAUCAUCACGAGAGAAGCAAAAUUGGAAGGGUUUCCUUGUUGCCAAUUGUUGUUUCAUCUCAUCGUUCAGAUGUAUGGUCCAAACUCAAAGUAGAAAAAGGAGACACAACCGUUUAAUAAUUCUCGUUUCAAACUCAAAUUGUAUAUAUAAUCUUGACAAGAGAACAAAACCAGGUUAAAGGUUUCUAUAAUACAAGGGGGGGAAAAAAACCCGACACGACGCUUUUUACGUGUACGUAACAUAAUUACCAGCACGAUAACCUUAUCUUCUUUUUGUUCUUUCAGAUGCAUGAUAUGAUAAACCUUGAAUAUAUGAUAAACCUUGAAUAUGGGACUAGCAAAAAAAGAAAAGAAAUGAAAGUCUACCUUUUAUUAUUAUUAUUUAGUAUUAUAAUUUUCUACGGUGGCCUGUUCAAGCCAUUGGCCUCCUGUUAAUCCCAGGGCAAAAUACUAAUUUUUUAAAUAAUUGUUUUUUUAUAUUUUCAAUAUAUAUCAAUUAAUUAAAUUUAUCAAAAAAUACUAAAAAAAUUUAAUUUAAUAUAUUUUUAAAACGCACAGUUGAAAAUCCAAUACAAGUAGGUAUUGAAAGAAAUAUAUAUAUAUAAAUAUAUAUAUAUAUAUAUAUAUAUAUAUAUAUAUGUCUCCAACUUUUCAAUUAGGUAUUUAAUAUAUUAAUCUUUUUAUUUAUUCAAAUCAAUAAAAUGGUUAAAAAUUAUAUGAAAAUCUUGUUUUUCUAUUUAUUUUGUGAAAAAAAUCAUGAAUUUAAUAAAAAUUCUCGUAUGAUGACAUGAAAUAGACUAUACAAAGAAAUGUAAGAGUUUUGGAAUAUGUUCACAUGAUUCAAAAUGAAGAUCAAGGAUUCAUUGAUUUUGUUAUGAAAAAAACAAAAAAUGAUGUAAACUGCAUAUGACUAUUUCAUAAUUUUAUUGGAAGAGUAUCUAACUGAAAAUCUAUUAUUACAUUGAGAAUCUAAUAGAAACUGUCCUUAGAGGUUGAGUACUUCAGUCAGGUUUGACCUUUAUUAUUCAUGCCUCUGAUCCCGUAAACUAAGCCGCCCACGUUUUGGAGGGGCCCGCUCCAAUUUACGCUAUAUAAACCCAAACUUUCCUCUAUAGUUUCUCGUCGCAAAAACUAGAUUCCUACAGUAUAUUUGCACACAAACUCUAAACUAUGGGGUUUACUAGUAUUAAAGUGUCUUUUAUCACUUUGGGUUAUUUUCUUAUGUUGUUUGUAACUCUCGCCAGCAUCUUGAAUCCCAUCUUUGCUUCGAGAAUCUGCGAGUUUCCAGCAAUAUUUAACUUGGGAGAUUCAAACUCUGAUACUGGUACACUGUCAGCUGCCUUCACUGCCCUUAACUCUCCCUAUGGAGACACUUACUUUCACAUGCCCGCGGGAAGGUUCUCAGAUGGAAGGCUGAUCAUAGAUUUCAUUGGUAAGCUAUUAUGCUUGUAAUUCGAAUAGCAUAUGCAUAUGUUAACUCCUCAAAGUUGCAUGAACUGGUCCUCUCAAAAGUAAAAGCGUACAUUUUGCCUCCAUCGUCAUAAGAGUCUGGAUCUCUUACUGCAUCUCGUUGUCAGCAUGUGUGGAUAUGGUUUUAAGUUUGAGCCUCCCAUUUAAAAUUUUUUAAAAAAAUGUGUGGAUCUCUUAUUACUCUUUAAUGAUCUCUUGUUUGAUCAGCAAAGAGUUUCAAUCUACCAUAUCUCAGUGCUUAUCUUAAUUCUCUGGGCGCCAGCUACACAAAUGGGGCGAAUUUUGCCUCAGCAAGAGCCACCAUCAGAUUUCCGUCUCCAAUUAUACCUGCUAGUGGUGGAUAUAGUCCAUUCUACCUUGAUGUGCAAUAUCAGCAAUUUAUGCAAUUUAAAGACAGAUCACAGAUCAUUAGGAAACAAGGUGCGUAAUCAAAAUCUAUUUUUUGGGGUCUACUCCAGAGAUGACAGUCAACUGUACGUAGAAGACGCAAUUUGAAACGAUUUUCUCAUCGAUGUUCAAUCUGUAUGCAGGAGGAAAGUUUGCCAAGUUGAUGCCUAAGGAGGACUAUUUCCGAAAAGCACUAUACACAUUUGACAUUGGUCAUAAUGAUCUUGGAGCUGGAAUUUUCAGCAACAUGUCCAUUGAGGAAGUGAAAGCAACUGUCCCUGAUAUUGUCAACAGGUUUUCGAUAUAUGUUAAGGUAAUCCUUAAUAAUGAACCAUUAGAGAAGGCUGUUUAGAUUUAUUACUCAUAUAUUAAUUUUAUGUUACAAUAAUAUAUUUAAACUACUGGAGUGGUUUUGAUCGGUGCAGAAUAUAUACGAAGUGGGAGGCAGAUCGUUUUGGAUUCAUAGCACAGGGCCAAUUGGUUGUCUUGCUUACAUCUUGACCGGCUUCCCUUCAGCAGAGAAGGACAGUGCUGGCUGUUCAAAGCAGCACAAUGAAGUGGCUCGGUAUUUUAAUUACAAAUUGAAGGAGGCUGUUUUUAAAUUGAGGAAAGAUUUUCCUUCAGCUGCAUUCACAUACGUGGACGUGUAUUCUGUGAAAUAUUCUUUAUUCAGUGAUCCCAAGAAAUAUGGUGAGUUACACUUUCUAGGUUCUUACGUAAUAAUAUAAAUUAUAUUUUAAAAUUUUAUAUAAUAAUUUAAGUUAUUGGGUUAAAAUAGUUUUUUAACAUAAUAUUAGAGCCUUGAUAACCAAGUAGUCACGAGUUUGAAUUUUAAUAUUCUCAUUUAUUUUAUUAAAAUUAAGCAUAAUGUAAUAUGAGUUUGUAAAAGUUUCAAGUUCAAAGGGUUUUCAUUUGAAGGGGGCGUGUUAGAGAAUAAUAUAAAUUAUAUAUUGGGACCUCACCUAAAGCUUAAGCAAUUGAGUUGAGAUCCCAAUAUAUGAUUUACCUAACCGUUUAAGUUAUUGAAUUAAGAUUGUUUUUUACAUAGAUAAUUAAUAAUUAAUAGCACGUUAAAUGCAAAAAAAUCUUUUCAAGUAUUGUAAAAUUAAAUUUAUUUAUAUCAGAUAAUAAAGGAUAUUUUCAAAAACCCACUCCAAGUUUAAGAAAAUAUUGUAGAAAAUUGUGUUGGUAACUUAAAUGCUUUAAUAUUUUAAAUAUAAGAAAGAUUUUAAAAUGUUAAUGACAUUUUAAGUUGAGAAAGGAAUUUUUAUAUAAACUUCUAGACAGUUUCCAUGAUUUCACAACACCUCACAGUUUGUUGUGUAAUAAUUUACCCACAGCACUAAAGCAAUUGGUUUUAAUUAACUUGAAAAGGACACGAAAGUAACAAAACCAAUAGAUAAAUCAGAAAACAUGGCAAAGAUUUAGUUUUUGUGGUUUAUUUUAUUACAAAUUGAUCUUGUUUUCCGUUACAAAUGGUGUAUAGGAUUUGAGCUUCCACUUAUAACCUGCUGUGGCUAUGGAGGCAAGUACAACUACAGUGAUGCUGCAGGAUGUGGAGAAACAAUUACAGUAAAUAAUACCAAAAUGGUUGUCGGUUCAUGUGACAACCCCUCUGUUCGAGUAAAUUGGGACGGAGCCCACUAUACCGAGGCUGCUAACAAGUUUGUUUUCGAUCGAAUUUCGACAGGAGCCUUUUCUGAUCCGCCAAUCCCCUUAAACAUGGCAUGCCACAGGAAUGUAUAAUUUCUGUGCUUUCAAUAUCAUUCUAAAAUGUAUAAAUCGCAAUAAAAUGCCUCCCUCUCGAUCCAUUCCUUGGAUCUGAAGGGUGAAAUAAGAAACUGUUGAUCUCAUAUAUCAUCUCUCCUCGGGAGAGAAAAACAUGAGAUGUGCCAAACUAGCUCCAAUAAUAACUCCUCCCCUACUUUUCAAUAUAUAUGGAAUCUAUGUAACGUAUAUAUUCUGUAUUUUUAAUAAAGCUCGACAGAAAAAUAUUUCAGCCUAUAAUUCCCUAGCCAAUUAGUUUGGUGAUCGAAAGCCAAAUAAAAAAUAAUUAACUUGGAACAAGAAAUGCACUCUGUUAUUUCCUGUCAACUACGAGGACGCAUUGAACGGAAAAAAGAAGAAGAAAAGACAGUUUGAACUGAGUACCAAACUGUUCCUUCAUAUAAUUAUAAUUGAGACGAGCGUGAACGAUCAAAGUUUUAACAGUAUUUCACAAGUGGGGGCAUAAUCAUUUGUACGUAAUCUUUAAUAAAAAUCAUUUUCUUUUUGAAAUAUAGUUAAAUGUUUGUGAUCUUUGAUUAUUAACACAUUGAGCCCAUAUUGUGUUGUAUCAGCAAAGAAUUUUAAUCUCCCGUAUAAUCUAAGUGCUUAUCUUAACUCUCGCGGGGCAACUCCACGCAUGGAGCAAAUUUUGCACUAGAGGGUCCACCUUUACAUUAACAAAACCUAAAACUAGAAGGUAAAUUACUUUAGCUCUAGGAACACAUCAUUAUUGAAAUGAAUAGUGAUGAAUCAAUUUUUUAUUAAGAUUUUUAUUUAUAAAUAUCUUCUUAAAUCAAAUAAUUUUAAUAAAUAUAUCGAUUUAAGAUACUUGAACUUAACAGUCAGCGAUGUCCAAAAUAUGUGGACUCGAUAGCAAAUCAAGUCUAAAAUAAUGUAGGUCUAACAAACUUACCAGACUAAAGGUGUUGUACUUGGUGAAAAGUCAAGUCCAAGGUGUGACAUUACUAAUUCUAAGAUUUUAUACCUGAUCUUAAACAAUUCUUUAUGAUAUAAAUAUUAAAGACAUAAUAAAUCAUCGUAUAUCUUUAUCUAGAAUAAUUGGAUGCAUUAAGAUAAUGAUUUCUUUAUACUUAUAGGUGUGUAUAAGGUUUCUUAAGAGACCACUCAUACUUAUUGUCUCAUUAAUGAUAUGUAAGAGGUUUUUACCUCUCAUUAAUGUCGCUGAAAACAGAGGACUUUUUGGCUUCUCCUUUUUCAUGGAAACGACAAGGUUUAUAGUGUAUAAAUACCUUCUAAACAAUUCAGGUAAAACAUACACAACCUCUCUUCUUUCUAAAAUAAAUAUACAAAGACUUCAAAGCAUUAACAAACUUAAAGCUCAAGAAUAAACAUCUUUGUCCUUGGAAUUUAAGGCUCUUUGAAGUUAUUUAUUACUUUAAGUCAUUUAAUAUCUUUCUUAUAAAGAUAUUAACUUUAUUAUUAGAGAAUCUUUAAAUUCUUUAGAUUGGAACUGUUUUUUUUUUUUUUUGCAAGUAUUAAAGACCUUCAUAGUUAACAUGAAGUUCUUUAGAUUAAGAAAAAAUUUAUUUGACCAGGUCACGGUCAACCUGUGUUUUUUAUUAUUUCAUAUAAAGUCAAUUAUCCCCAAACUUCUUUUGAAACCCGACCCGCCCUAAGCUUUGGAUCACGAGUCAACCUGCCAUUUUGUUUUUAAUUUGGUUAUCUUAUUCGCAUGACCUCUCGCUCAUGAGUUUUGUUGACCUCACCUGAUUUUUUUUGCCAUUUUGCUUUUUUGGACUUCUUUUUGUUAAUUGAUUUUUUUUCUUAAAUUCGUCUUUAUAUGUUUGGAUUCUUGGGAAUUGGCAAUUGUAAUAUUUUUCAAUUUUAUUUUUAUAAUAUCGAGUUGUGGAAUUUUUUCUUUUUUAAAAUAUAUUAACAUUGUUUUUUUAUAUCACAGAAAAUUUAAUCUGGCCUGCAGCGAAAUAAUUAAGAAUUCAAUGGCAUGCUUAGCACAACAUCAUUCAAUGUUUUCGGAUUAACAUGUGAUACUUCCUAACAUCCAUUACUAUCAAGCCAGCUCAACGAGGCAUAAGGAAAAAUUCCCAGCACUCAUAAAGUUUGGUGUGGAGAAAAGGGGAAGUGAUGAUAAGAAAGAAAAAGAAGAAACAAAUGGGAAAGUUUUUUCUUUUCCAAAAAUAGAUCGUAAGGAAAAUGGGCUGAAUAGUCCAAAAAAUACUAGAGUUCAUCAUAUGCCAGCACAGCGGAUGGGUUGUGUUUCCAUUCAUUCGAAACAUAAUCAAGCAAGUUCUUAUCCGUGUUGCUGUUUGUCCAAGUCAUUGUCUCUUCUAUGGUGGCCACAUGGAAGUGCUUUCACUAUUUCAGUGCCUUUGAUUAUCUGUCUCUACUCUUUACUAAGAAAAUAAGGUGAAAUGUAUUCAUGUAGCAAUAGACCUGUAAAUAAUGCAUGAGGACUUUUCUCAUCACAUCAUGGACCGACCAUAAAUAAAGAUCUUUUCUUUUGCAAAACUUUUUCAAGAAUAUUUUAUCAACAAAGCAUAACCUUCUUGAUGAGAUGCAAGCAUAAUGUUGUUAAUUUAAUUAUAAGUGCCAAUUCGCUAGCUGGCUUAUUCCUAAUUUUAACUGCAAUUAAUAUCCAACUAACCGAUCGAGUGGAGAAAAUGACUUGAGAAUAUACAAGCCCAAGAGAUGACUACAGAACUCAAGGGAGAAGAAUAAUAUCAGAAUGUAUGGGAUUAAUCCCCUUGUGAAAUCUGAAAUGCCAUGAAGAGGAAACGGAGGAACCAAAGAGAAUCGGUAAAAAAGAAAGCAACAUAAUUUAAAAAUAUUUUGGAUAUAUAUGUCGAUAGAAAUUUCAGCUCCCUUUAGUCUUUAUGAGCUGUGACAAAACAAUGUGAAAGU
Molecule: long non-coding RNA, 22298 nt
Filed under: Populus trichocarpa (black cottonwood)
Lineage: Eukaryota; Viridiplantae; Streptophyta; Magnoliopsida; Malpighiales; Salicaceae
Description: long non-coding RNA (PTRI_LNC000593)
Source: RNAcentral